RNAcentral lists this long non-coding RNA (879 nucleotides) under Olea europaea subsp. europaea. Lineage: Eukaryota; Viridiplantae; Streptophyta; Magnoliopsida; Lamiales; Oleaceae. The record is from RNAcentral.
GCCUAUCUCUCAACCCGAAGAGGGUUUAGAAUCCCGAGGAUGCCUAGCUCCCUGAAAGGGUGGAAGGAUAAGUGGUUUUAUGCCAUACCUCAAGAUCCCGACGUUCCCUUUAGUCCUCGGUGGGGGGGGGGUGCCCGAUACUGCUAGGUUUUGUGGGGGUCAGGUGUAUUUUGAGUCAUUGGAGAGGCAUAGGCAAAUGCUAGAGGAGCUCGAGCCCCUCAUUUAUAACUUGGAUGAUAUUCUCGAGCUUGCGAACAUGAAAGGCAUCAAGGGUAGGAUACGCGAUUUUAACGCUUUAAUUUCCCGACCUAUAUUUUUAUUAAUGCUCAUGCUAAUAACAUGUCAUUUUUUUGCAGAAAUGACGUUUGGCCCAAGUGCCCUUCGUUAGGCAGUUAGUAAGAAGUUAAAGGUUCCCCAGGCUCGAGCUCCAAGCUAGAGGAGGGACCAAAAGAGACCUCGGGAUUCGAGGCUUGAAAAGCAGACCAGUGGGCCUGGUAAAUCGUCAAGACCCCGAGGACCGGCCCCGGGAGUAGGGAGGACGGAAACUCAGCAACAAGAUCUUCUAGGGACUCCUCGAGGGCCUCAUCCUCAAGGACCUGUUGACGUGGUCGACCUUGAGGAUGAAUGCCUGCCACCGGGCCCUGCUGAUCCCGAGGGAUGCUCCCGGUGUCAGUUCGUGCUCAGCGUUGUUGACAAGUACCGGGCAAACGUCGAUUUAAGAAAUGACUUGAGGGCUCUCGAAGCUAAGCCUUGAAGGUAAGAUGGUCGACAGUUUUUAUUUUUUUUUUAAUUUUCUUUUCAAUCUUUACUUCCCAAGGUUAAGUUGCCCACGCUCUUUUUUCCAGACAUUAGGCAUAGCUCGAGGUCUUUCCUUAAAGG